RNAcentral lists this ribosomal RNA (453 nucleotides) under uncultured Porphyromonadaceae bacterium. RNAcentral describes it as "partial 16S ribosomal RNA". It matches the Rfam family "Bacterial small subunit ribosomal RNA", at positions 341 to 792 of the family's 1533-position model. Lineage: Bacteria; Pseudomonadati; Bacteroidota; Bacteroidia; Bacteroidales; Porphyromonadaceae. The record is from RNAcentral.
ACGGGAGGCAGCAGUGAGGAAUAUUGGUCAAUGGGCGGAAGCCUGAACCAGCCAAGUCGCGUGAAGGAUGAAGGUAUUAUGUAUUGUAAACUUCUUUAGCAGCAGAGUAAUAAGGAGGUCGUGACCUCCGAUGCAAGUAUGCUGAAAAUAAGGAUCGGCUAACUCCGUGCCAGCAGCCGCGGUAAUACGGAGGAUCCGAGCGUUAUCCGGAUUUAUUGGGUUUAAAGGGUGCGCAGGCGGCCCUGUAAGUCAGCGGUUAAAUCGUGAGGCUCAACCUCAUCCCGCCGUUGAUACUGCAGGGCUUGAUUGCGGUCGAGGUUGGCGGAAUUCGUCGUGUAGCGGUGAAAUGCAUAGAUAUGACGAAGAACACCGAUUGCGUAGGCAGCUGACCAGGCCGUAAAUGACGCUCAUGCACGAAAGUGCGGGGAUCGAACAGGAUUAGAUACCCUGGUA